GCUGGCAGCUAGCUCACUGCAACUCACAUUGAAGCUAAGCAGGGCUGUGCCUGGGUUGUACCUGGAUGGGAGACUAAAUGGGAAAGCUAGGUUGCUGUUGGAA
Non-coding RNA from Danio rerio (zebrafish), 103 nucleotides. NCBI's taxonomy places the organism in Eukaryota, Metazoa, Chordata, Actinopteri, Cypriniformes, Danionidae. The record is from Rfam.